RNAcentral lists this ribosomal RNA (494 nucleotides) under uncultured soil bacterium. RNAcentral's name for it is "bacterial SSU rRNA". It matches the Rfam family "Bacterial small subunit ribosomal RNA", at positions 26 to 522 of the family's 1533-position model. The record is from RNAcentral.
AGGACGAACGCUGGCGGCGUGCUUAACACAUGCAAGUCGAGCGGAAAGGCCUUUCGGGGUACUCGAGCGGCGAACGGGUGAGUAACACGUGAGUAAUCUGCCCAUCGCUUCAGGAUAGCCAUCGGAAACGGUGAUUAAUACUGGAUAUGACAUUCCUUCGCAUGUUGGGGUGUGGAAAGUUUUUUCGGCGGUGGAUGUGCUCGCGGCCUAUCAGCUUGUUGGUGGGGUAAUGGCCUACCAAGGCUUUGACGGGUAGCCGGCCUGAGAGGGUGACCGGCCACACUGGGACUGAGACACGGCCCAGACUCCUACGGGAGGCAGCAGUGGGGAAUAUUGGACAAUGGGCGGAAGCCUGAUCCAGCAACGCCGCGUGAGGAUGACGGCCUUCGGGUUGUAAACCUCUUUCAGCACAGAACGAAGUUUGUCGUUUUUUGGUGUAAGUGACGUAGUGUGCAGAAGAAGGACCGGACCAACGUACGUGCCAGCACGCCGAC